CUACACAUGCAGUCGAGCGGAUGAGUGGAGCUUGCUCCAUGAUUCAGCGGCGGACGGGUGAGUAAUGCCUAGGAAUCUGCCUGGUAGUGGGGGACAACGUUUCGAAAGGAACGCUAAUACCGCAUACGUCCUACGGGAGAAAGUGGGGGAUCUUCGGACCUCACGCUAUCAGAUGAGCCUAGGUCGGAUUAGCUAGUUGGUGAGGUAAAGGCUCACCAAGGCGACGAUCCGUAACUGGUCUGAGAGGAUGAUCAGUCACACUGGAACUGAGACACGGUCCAGACUCCUACGGGAGGCAGCAGUGGGGAAUAUUGGACAAUGGGCGAAAGCCUGAUCCAGCCAUACCGCGUGGGUGAAGAAGGCCUUCGGGUUGUAAAGCCCUUUUGUUGGGAAAGAAAUCCUGUCGAUUAAUACUCGGUGGGGAUGACGGUACCCAAAGAAUAAGCACCGGCUAACUUCGUGCCAGCAGCCGCGGUAAUACGAAGGGUGCAAGCGUUACUCGGAAUUACUGGGCGUAAAGCGUGCGUAGGUGGUGGUUUAAGUCUGCUGUGAAAGCCCUGGGCUCAACCUGGGAAUUGCAGUGGAUACUGGAUUACUAGAGUGUGGUAGAGGGAUGCGGAAUUUCUGGUGUAGCAGUGAAAUGCGUAGAGAUCAGAAGGAACAUCCGUGGCGAAGGCGGCAUCCUGGGCCAACACUGACACUGAGGCACGAAAGCGUGGGGAGCAAACAGGAUUAGAUACCCUGGUAGUCCACGCCCUAAACGAUGCGAACUGGAUGUUGGGUGCAACUUGGCACCCAGUAUCGAAGCUAACGCGUUAAGUUCGCCGCCUGGGGAGUACGGUCGCAAGACUGAAACUCAAAGGAAUUGACGGGGGCCCGCACAAGCGGUGGAGUAUGUGGUUUAAUUCGAUG
Molecule: ribosomal RNA, 912 nt
Filed under: uncultured Gammaproteobacteria bacterium
Lineage: Bacteria; Pseudomonadati; Pseudomonadota; Gammaproteobacteria
Description: bacterial SSU rRNA
Rfam family: Bacterial small subunit ribosomal RNA
Source: RNAcentral